Molecule: ribosomal RNA, 613 nt
Filed under: uncultured bacterium
Lineage: Bacteria
Description: bacterial SSU rRNA
Rfam family: Bacterial small subunit ribosomal RNA
Source: RNAcentral
GCAUUAGCUAGUUGGUAAGGUAACGGCUUACCAAGGCGAUGAUGCAUAGCCGAGUUGAGAGACUGAUCGGCCACAAUGGAACUGAGACACGGUCCAUACUCCUACGGGAGGCAGCAGUAGGGAAUCUUCCACAAUGGGCGCAAGCCUGAUGGAGCAACACCGCGUGAGUGAAGAAGGGUUUCGGCUCGUAAAGCUCUGUUGUUGGAGAAGAACGUGCGUGAGAGUAACUGUUCACGCAGUGACGGUAUCCAACCAGAAAGUCACGGCUAACUACGUGCCAGCAGCCGCGGUAAUACGUAGGUGGCAAGCGUUAUCCGGAUUUAUUGGGCGUAAAGCGAGCGCAGGCGGUUGCUUAGGUCUGAUGUGAAAGCCUUCGGCUUAACCGAAGAAGUGCAUCGGAAACCGGGCGACUUGAGUGCAGAAGAGGACAGUGGAACUCCAUGUGUAGCGGUGGAAUGCGUAGAUAUAUGGAAGAACACCAGUGGCGAAGGCGGCUGUCUGGUCUGCAACUGACGCUGAGGCUCGAAAGCAUGGGUAGCGAACAGGAUUAGAUACCCUGGUAGUCCAUGCCGUAAACGAUGAGUGCUAGGUGUUGGAGGGUUUCCGCCCUUCA